CUACCAAUCGUGUGAAGAAAAUAUUUUUUUCGUUAAAUCUCUUGUGAGUGAUAUAUUAUGACUUCACAAUAUUUCAAUUGCGCGCACCUUCUGUGACGCCCCCAAAAUAGGUAUACAUCACCCAUCUUGGGUCGCUAGAAAAUCCACUAUUGAUAACUUUAUUUAUACAGCUGUCGUGCAGAGUACGAUCGUACAUAUGCUAUGAGUUUCAAUACAAAUAUUAUAGCGUAUAUAAUACGACAAUAUUCAUAUUUAAAUUAUUACAUGCCAUAUAAAGUACAACAGCAAAUAUUUCAAGUCUCCAAGGGACGCGAGAAGAUUUUUGUUCUCCUCAUUUUAAUGUGGUAUAUUUUUGACGCUUUCAAGGUCGGAUCCUCGUUGUCCUAUAGUUGUUCACCAAAAUCAAUCAGUAAAUGAUGUAUAAAAUAUGUCACACACAUUUUAAGUUCUCAAUAUAAUUAUUAUGCCACACCGUUUCAUAAUUUGAUUAGGCUUAUGACUAAUUCGUAUCACCACUUUAUACCCGUGUUCUCCCUGCUAGUCCCAGCUACACUUUUAUUACCUGAAAGGGGUGGUGAAGUAAAAGGGUGAGCACAAAUAGCCCAGUAAAGAAUAUCAUGACUUAAGAUAAUUAAAUUAUCAAAAGAAUUCAGAUAUUUAGAACAUAUGGUAGAAGAUAAAAGUUUUCAAUCAUAAUAGUAGCGGAAUCAACAAUCCAUUAGAAGAGUCAAGUAGAACAUAAUGUCUACUAUCUCCUCUAGAUUAAAAGUCCAUCAUUAAUAUUUCAUUCAUGUAAUAUUCAUCAACAGUUCUUUGUUAUACCCAAGACAAAAAGAACUCUCAUCACCUGUCUUCACCUGAACCACCACAGAUUAUAAUUAAAUUCACAAUUCAUAUUUAUAAUCAGGUAAAUCAACAAUUCAUACAACUGUAAAACCAAUAACCAACAGUCCAUCUUUGCACUAUAAGCCAAAGAUAUACAACUGUAAAACCAAUUAUCCAGCUUAAUAGUAUCACGACCACGAAUUAUCCAUGCACUACGAGCCAAAGAUAUUCGUGUUUUCAAUUACGAUCAUGAUUAUACCGAAUAAUCCCUGAUCAUAAUCAUACCAAGUCCAUCUAUGCACUACGGGCCAAAGAUGACUUUUAACACAUCAUUUGUAACAUUACGGUCAUGAUUAUACCGAAUAAUCCCUGGUCAUAAUCAUACCAAGUCCAUCCAUGCACUACUGGCCAUAGAUGACUUUCAUCAUAAUAUAAGCAUGAGAAUGAUGACAAUGAUAUAUAUAAUGAAUAAACAUAUAUCAUCAGAAUAAUAAGAUAACAUAGAUCUUAGUGAUUUUCAACUUAAUUAUCCAGAGUCCAAAUUAAUAACAUAAUAAUAGAUGAAUCACAAACUAUUAGGGAUAUUCUAAUCCUUUCAGAACUUUUCACCAUUUAAUGAUAAACUGAAUAAACGAAUAAUAAUAUCUUACCAUAACAUGGAGUAUGAAAGAAAAUGAUAUUCUUUUUACCAGAAAAUGAUACCCUCUUACCACAAUAAUGAUAUUCCUUACCUUAGCAUGUGACUUGAUUCUGCUUUUUGUGAAAUUGAUCAACUUAAACAAUGCUUGCAUUCCUUAUCUACACUUGGAGUAACAUUUCACUCAAUAGAAAUACUCACAAUAUUAUACUCACAAUAUUGUAGUAAAAUAAUUCUAUAUUUUUAGUGUAGUGAUGGUGUCUCACUCAACCGAGCAACGUCUAUUUAUACUGAAAAUUUAGUAAACAACUAGCACACCCACUUUGACAAAAUAUCCAAAUGUGGUAUAUAAUAAUGGUAGUGGAAUGUAUGGUCCCACAGAGAAAAUUAAACCAACUUGUACCAGUUUUAACAAAAUUUAUUCAAUAAUAGAGUUGUGGUCCAUCCUACUUUAGAAAAAAUAGAGUGUCGGCACGUCCUGCCAAACUUACUUUUGUAAAAAGAAAAUAAUUGAACAAAUAUAUGUAUAUCAUACUUAUCUUUAUUCAACACCUUUUAUUCAUCAAUUAUUUACACAUUUUUAAUCUUUCAAUAAUUAUUCACAAUUAUUAACAUAGACUCGCAAUACUUCCAACUUGUAUAGUUAUAUCAUAUCAAAUAAUAUGAGUCACUGUGUAAUAACUAUUGUGACAAUUAUUGAAUAAAAGACUGAGUGACUUCUUACGUAAUUAAGAAUCAAUAAUAUGAAUCACUGUGGAAUAAUUACUGUGACAAUUAUUGAAUGAAAUAUAUGGUGACAUCUUGCGUAAGAAUCAAAUCAAUACCUUACUAUAAACAAUUUAAAUUCUAUUAAAAGUAGGAAUCAACACCAAAUCAUAUUUAUCUCGAAUAACAUAUAUAUAAACCAACUAACAAUUCAUUAUUCAUUCAAGUUGUCUUUAUUUAUCGCACAAAAUCAUUAUUCAUAUUCCAAAACUUUAGAAGUGAAUAAUAAAACUUGAGAAAUAUAAAAACUCAUAUAUGACAAUCCAUUAUUCUAAUAUUAUCACCAUUUUUAUUUUAACAAAAAUAUUAUUUUUGUUUUUAUCAUAACUCAUUCAUUACUAGUGCGUUUACAUUCCCACACCUCAUGAGCUUACUAACACUUCAAAAAUAUUUAGAAAAUAUGAUUCUGAACUUUCCAAAUAAUUUUCAUAUUUUUCAUAUUAUCCAACAAUUUUCUAUAAUUAUUUCUAUUUAUAAAAACUAUCAUUUAAUAGCUUCAAAAUAGAAAUACUAACUCCACAUACUUUUAUAUCUUUAAAACAUCAUCAAUAUUAAUAUUAUAUUAUUAUAAUAUUUUUCAGCAAAAAUCAUAAUUUUCCACCAUUCAUAGAAUUUCCUAUGAAUUUCCUCUAUUUUUAAACUAACCAUAAAUAGCUUAAAAAUACAAUAAAUAUUUCUGUUAUUCAGUAAUUUUCCAAAACAACCCAGAAAUUAUAAAACAAUAUUAUACCAUUUUCACCAAGUUUCAUAAUUUUUCAUCAUUCAUAGAAUUUUCUAUGAAUUUCUUCUAUUUUCAAACUAACUAUAAAUAGUUUAAAAAAUACAAUAAUUACUUCUGCUUUUCAAUAAUGCAUCAAAAUUUUACAGAAAUUCUAAGAUGAUAUUAUAAGCAUUCUGUAAAAAUAUUUCAACCCAAAUAAUUUUUCUGAUAAAUUAAUUAUAAACUCCAAUAUUCAGAAAUUUCAAUAAUUCACAAUAAUUAGCACUUUUAUCAGAAAAAAAAAUACAGAUCUUAUGUGCUUCCAUGUAAAAUUUAAUUCUCUACAACUUUGUAGAAGAAAGUUUUCCCAAAUUUUGACUCUAACAUAGAGAGAAAGGCAUACCGAAAUAUUAUGUUUGAUAAUUUUCGAACCAGUCACCUUACGAAAUUCACAAUAGAUUAUAUAUUAAUCUUUAACGAUUCAAACUUUGUGGACAUAUACUUAACUUAUAUAUGCAUAACAUAUCCGAAAAUCACAACGAUCCAACGGUCGGAUUAAAAAUUAUAACUCACGCAAUAAAGCAUAAUAAAACUGAUUUUUCGGACUAUAAGUCCUUCGGACCAAUUUCACUCAAACUGUCACCACGAAAAAUCUACAAAUAAUUUUAGGGUGAUUCAAAUUUCUGCACUUAGCUUACUUCUAGGGCUUUCGUUUGAUAUAUGGCUCAUCUUCUAACUCAUUAUACACAAAGAGUUACGGAUUUUACAAAAUCAAGUAGUAAACUAAUUUUUCAUGAAAAUUUCCAAAUUUCGUUUUUCACUUGAUUUCUUGAUUUCUCUCAUUUGAUUCAUGUUUAUGCAAGUUUAAAUCAUCCAAUACAUACAUGAGUAUGUACUCUUUACAUAAAAUCUAUAAACUAAAAUAAUCAAGAUUUUUGAAAAUACCUGAUUUCUUCAUUUCUUUCUUUCUUCUUCUUCUUCUCCUCUUCCUUCUCUUCCUUCUCCUCUUUCUAUUCCCUCUCUCUCUCUCUCUCUUUUAUUUUGUUGAUAACUCCCGUGACUAAAAAUGAAUGGGUGAGAAUGGAGUAUCCUUCUUUUAUUUCUCUUUUUCUUCCUUCCUUU
This 4049-nucleotide long non-coding RNA is filed under the name Panax ginseng (ginseng). RNAcentral describes it as "long non-coding RNA (PGIN_LNC005154)". The record is from RNAcentral. Lineage: Eukaryota; Viridiplantae; Streptophyta; Magnoliopsida; Apiales; Araliaceae.